RNAcentral lists this ribosomal RNA (492 nucleotides) under uncultured bacterium. RNAcentral describes it as "partial 16S ribosomal RNA". It matches the Rfam family "Bacterial small subunit ribosomal RNA", at positions 29 to 507 of the family's 1533-position model. The record is from RNAcentral.
AGUGAACGCUGGCGGUAGGCCUAAUACAUGCAAGCCGAGCGGCAGCACAGUAAGAUCUCUCCCUUACGGUUGGCGAGUGGCGGACGGGUGACACAUACAUCGGCUUCUUCUUUUUCGUGGGGGAUAACGUAGGGACACUUACGCUAAUGCCGCAUAUGUCCAACGGCUUAGAGCAGGGGAUCUUCGCACCUUUCGCGUUUCUAUGAGCCGAUGUCGCAUUAGCUAGUUGGCUAGGUAAAGGCUCACCAAGGCAACGAUCCGUAGCUGAUCUGAGAGGAUGAUCAGCCACACUGGAACUGAGACACGGUCCAGACUCCUACGGGAGGCAGCAGUGGGGAAUAUUGCACAAUGGGCGCAAGCCUGACGGAGCCACGCCGCGUGAGUGAAGAAGGUCUUCGGAUCGUAAAGCUCUGUUAUUAGGGAAGAACAGAAGUGUAAGUAACUCUGGACGUCCUGACGGUACCUAAAGAGAAAGCAACGGCUAACUUCGUG